This 253-nucleotide ribosomal RNA is filed under the name uncultured bacterium. RNAcentral's name for it is "partial 16S ribosomal RNA". It matches the Rfam family "Bacterial small subunit ribosomal RNA", at positions 524 to 776 of the family's 1533-position model. The record is from RNAcentral.
UACGUAGGUGGCAAGCGUUGUCCGGAAUUAUUGGGCGUAAAGCGCGCGCAGGCGGUCCUUUAAGUCUGAUGUGAAAGCCCACGGCUCAACCGUGGAGGGUCAUUGGAAACUGGGGGACUUGAGUGCAGAAGAGGAGAGUGGAAUUCCACGUGUAGCGGUGAAAUGCGUAGAGAUGUGGAGGAACACCAGUGGCGAAGGCGGCUUUCUGGUCUGUAACUGACGCUGAGGCGCGAAAGCGUGGGGAGCAAACAGG